This 256-nucleotide ribosomal RNA is filed under the name uncultured bacterium. RNAcentral describes it as "partial 16S ribosomal RNA". It matches the Rfam family "Bacterial small subunit ribosomal RNA", at positions 524 to 776 of the family's 1533-position model. The record is from RNAcentral.
UACGAAGGGGGGCUAGCGUUGCUCGGAAUCACUGGGCGUAAAGCGCACGUAGGCGGCUUCUUAAGUCAGGGGGUGAAAUCCUGGAGCUCAACUCCAGAACUGCCUUUGAUACUGGGAGGCUCGAGUCCGGGAGAGGUGAGUGGAACUGCGAGUGUAGAGGUGAAAUUCGUAGAUAUUCGCAAGAACACCAUUGGCGAAGGCGGCUCACUGGCCCGGUACUGACGCUGAGGUGCGAAAAGCGUGGGGAGCAAACAGG